GACAGAGGAGGCAAGCGUUAUCCGGAAUUAUUGGGCGUAAAGCGUCCGUAGGUGGUUUGGCAAGUCUGGGGUUAAAGCCCGGAGCCUAACUCCGGAUCGGCCCUGGAAACUGCCAGACUAGAGUAAGGUAGGGGUUGCGGGAAUUCCCGGUGUAGCGGUGAAAUGCGUAGAUAUCGGGAAGAACACCAGUGGCGAAAGCGCGCAACUGGGCCAUUACUGACGCUGAGGUACGAAAGCUAGGGGAGCGAAGGGG
This 253-nucleotide ribosomal RNA is filed under the name uncultured bacterium. RNAcentral's name for it is "partial 16S ribosomal RNA". It matches the Rfam family "Bacterial small subunit ribosomal RNA", at positions 524 to 776 of the family's 1533-position model. The record is from RNAcentral.